Molecule: small nuclear RNA, 161 nt
Organism: Vulpes vulpes (red fox)
Lineage: Eukaryota; Metazoa; Chordata; Mammalia; Carnivora; Canidae
Gene: U1
Rfam family: U1 spliceosomal RNA
About the family: U1 is a small nuclear RNA (snRNA) component of the spliceosome (involved in pre-mRNA splicing). Its 5' end forms complementary base pairs with the 5' splice junction, thus defining the 5' donor site of an intron. There are significant differences in sequence and secondary structure between metazoan and yeast U1 snRNAs, the latter being much longer (568 nucleotides as compared to 164 nucleotides in human).
Source: Ensembl
AUACUUACCUGACAAGGGAGAUACCAUGAUCCUGAAGUUGGUUUUCUUAGGGCAAGUCUCAUCCAUUGCACUCUGGUUGUGCUGACCCUUGAGAUUUCCUUAAACUUGGGAAACUUGACUGAAUAAUUUGUGGUAGUGGGACUGCGUUUGAAGUCUCCCCA